UACUAUUUAUUCGAAAUGGUA
This 21-nucleotide non-coding RNA is filed under the name Caenorhabditis elegans. The record is from RNAcentral. Lineage: Eukaryota; Metazoa; Nematoda; Chromadorea; Rhabditida; Rhabditidae.